UUGCAGUUCAAUCAGCUGCUGGCAGCCUGUGCAGCACUGAAAGGAGAGGGAAAGGGAAGGGAAAGGAAAGGGAAAGGGAAAGGGAAAGGGAAAGGGAAAGGAAAGGGAAAGGGAAAGGGAAAGGGAAAGGGAAAGGAAAGGGAAAGGGAAAGGGAAAGGGAAAGGGAAAGGAAAGGGAAAGGGAAAGGGAAAGGGAAAGGGAAAGGAAAGGGAAAGGGAAAGGGAAAGGGAAAGGGAAAGGAAAGGGAAAGGGAAAGGGAAAGGGAAAGGGAAAGGAAAGGGAAAGGGAAAGGGAAAGGGAAAGGGAAAGGAAAGGGAAAGGGAAAGGGAAAGGGAAAGGGAAAGGAAAGGGAAAGGGAAAGGGAAAGGGAAAGGAAAGGGGAAAGGGAAAGGAAAGGAAAGGAAAGGAAAGGAAAGGAAAGGAAAGGAAAGGAAAGGAAAGGAAAGGAAAGGAAAGGAAAGGAAAGGAAAGGAAAGGAAAGGAAAGGAAAGGAAAGGAAAGGAAAGGAAAGGAAAGGAAAGGAAAGGAAAGGAAAGGAAAGGAAAGGAAAGGAAAGGAAAGGAAAGGAAAGGAAAGGAAAGGAAAGGAAAGGAAAGGAAAGGAAAGGAAAGGAAAGGAAAGGAAAGGAAAGGAAAGGAAAGGAAAGGAAAGGAAAGGAAAGGAAAGGAAAGGAAAGGAAAGGAAAGGAAAGGAACUGCUGCCCCCUGCUGGCGGCGGGCGGACACCGCGGGACGGGCGGGACACCGAGCACACCUGGAGCACACCUGGAGCACACCUGGCACACACCCUGCAGAAGCCUCGCACACAGCUGGCACACAGCUGGCACCCUCCAGAGCCCGCCCACCUGCUGGAGCCACCCCCGGCUUUCCCCCAGGGCGGUGCCCCCGGGCCGUGUCAGAACCAGACCCUGCUGCUGCUGCUCUCGGUGCCCAGGAGAGGCUGGUGGCCAGGGCAGACACCUGCACUCACCCCCCCUGGGGCUGAGCCCAGGAAGCGUAUUUAAGAAGGGGGAAUUAAGGACAGGGGGAUGCAGGCUGAGCCCCGCCUGCAGCUCAGCCAGUCCUCCCCCUGCUCGUGGCCCACCCAGAGCCCUGCUAGCUGUGGCUGCAGCUGGCCCACCUCGAGGAUGGAUGAUGGAUCAAUUCAGGGAGCUCUCUGCCUCUCCACGCUGCCACCAUGGGAGGAAAGCAAAGCCAUGA
This 1200-nucleotide long non-coding RNA is filed under the name Ficedula albicollis (Collared flycatcher). RNAcentral describes it as "lncRNA (ENSFALG00000028114.1)". Lineage: Eukaryota; Metazoa; Chordata; Aves; Passeriformes; Muscicapidae. The record is from RNAcentral.